RNAcentral lists this ribosomal RNA (468 nucleotides) under uncultured bacterium. Its description in RNAcentral is "partial 16S ribosomal RNA". It matches the Rfam family "Bacterial small subunit ribosomal RNA", at positions 28 to 507 of the family's 1533-position model. The record is from RNAcentral.
GACGAACGCUGGCGGCGUGCUUAACACAUGCAAGUCGAACGGAAAGGCCCUGCUUUUGUUGGGUUCUCGAGUGGCGAACGGGUGUGUAUAACGUGAGUAUCCUGCCCUUGACUUUGGGAUAACUUCAGUGAAAUGGGGCUAUUACCCGAUAGGAGCUCCUGCUGCAUGGUGGGGGUUGGAAAGUUUCGGUGGUUGGGGAUGGCCUCGCGGAUUUUCAGCUUGUUGGUGGGGAAGUGGCUUACCAAGGCUUUGACGGGUAGCCGGCCUGAGAGGGUGACCGGCCACAGUGGGACUGAGAUAGGGGCAGGAGUGCAACGGGAGGCAGCAGGGGGGAAUAUUGCACGAUGGGCGGAAGCCGGAUGCAGGAACGCCGCGUGCGGGAUGACGGCCUUCGGGUUGGAAACCGCUUUCGCCUGUGACGAAGCGUGAGUGACGGUAAUGGGUAAAGAAGCACCGGCUAACUACGUG